This 802-nucleotide ribosomal RNA is filed under the name uncultured Caldilineaceae bacterium. RNAcentral's name for it is "bacterial SSU rRNA". It matches the Rfam family "Bacterial small subunit ribosomal RNA", at positions 8 to 828 of the family's 1533-position model. Lineage: Bacteria; Bacillati; Chloroflexota; Caldilineae; Caldilineales; Caldilineaceae. The record is from RNAcentral.
AGAGUUUGAUCCUGGCUCAGGAUGAACGCUAGCGGCGUGCCUAACACAUGCAAGUCGAACGUGAAGAGGUACUUGUAUCUCUGAAAGUGGCGGACGGGUGAGUAAGACGUAGGUGACCUGCCUCGGAGUGGGGGAUAACCAUUGGAAACGAUGGCUAAUACCGCAUGACGUUGUUGGAUUGGGAAAUUUGACAACCAAAGCUCAGGCGCUUGGAGAGGGGCCUACGGCCGAUUAGCUAGUUGGUGGGGUAAUGGCCUACCAAGGCGAUGAUCGGUAGCUGGUCUGAGAGGACGAUCAGCCACACGGGAACUGAGACACGGUCCCGACUCCUACGGGGGGCAGCAGUGAGGAAUAUUCGGCAAUGGGGGGAACCCUGACCGAGCAACGCCGCGUGGAGGAUGACGGUUUUCGGAUUGUAAACUCCUUUUCUGGGGGAAGAGACAGGACGGUACCCCAGGAAUCAGUCACGGCUAACUACGUGCCAGCAGCCGCGGUAAUACGUAGGUGGCAAGCGUUAUCCGGAAUUAUUGGGCGUAAAGCGCACGCAGGUGGCUGCUUAAGUCUGACGUGAAAGCUCCUGGCUUAACUGGGAGAGGUCGUUGGGUACUGGGCGGCUUGAGGCAAGGAGAGGGGCGUAGAAUUCCCGGUGUAGUGGUGGAAUGCGUAGAUAUCGGGAGGAAUACCAGAGGCGCAAGCGGCGCCCUGGCCUUGGCCUGACGCUCAGGUGCGAAAGCGUGGGGAGCGAACGGGAUUAGAUACCCCGGUAGUCCACGCCAUAAACGAUGAAUACUAGGUGUAGGGG